This 1760-nucleotide long non-coding RNA is filed under the name Strigops habroptila (Kakapo). Its description in RNAcentral is "lncRNA (ENSSHBG00005006222.1)". The record is from RNAcentral. Lineage: Eukaryota; Metazoa; Chordata; Aves; Psittaciformes; Psittacidae.
UUUGACAUUCAAGAGUUCCAUUUAUUUUCUCAGGACUUCAAUACUUAAUACCAAAAAACCACUCCCAAAAUUAAAGAAGGAAAAAAGAAAUCUCACAGAUGAACACCAGCUAUGCCAGUUAGAGAUCAACAUUGCUCAGAAACAGGAUCCAGGACAUUAAAGAUAUAAAAAAGAAGCAGCCAAAUGAAUCCCAUGGGCUUUCUGGAGACAUGCAGAUGAAAGCUAUUUUUCAGUAUCGUGGUUUUGCUCUUCAACUACUUAGAUAACACAGCGAAUGCAAAAACACAGAAACGUGAGUGUGUUAAAACAUGGUGCUGCAGCUCGCAGGCAGCAAACCACACAAAGCAAAGGUCAUAAGGAAUAAUCAGACCUCCUGUUAUCAGCAGAGCUACGUUUGAUUUGGAAAACUGUCCAGACUGGCUUCAGCUCAGGCCAACGGAGCAUCCACCUCUUGCUUCCAGCAGAGAAAGGAAGAACCACAGUGACUACGGAGCUGAACAACUUAAAUGCAUACCUAGAAAGGGUGUAACUGGUGCUAUGCUAUGAAACUAAAAUAGUCAGAGCAUAUUUAAAUAUAGUUAGCAGUAUUUCCCAUUCCCUCCAUGUGGAACUCAGAAUAUCUACAUACAGAAUUCACCUGCUUUGUCCCCCCCCAGUCUCUCCAUAGCUGAAGAGAUUAGAAAGUGCAGUCAAAGCAGGGGGCAGGGGAAGGAGAAUGGCAAGAAUCUUUAUCCUUGCCCCACAAACUCCACUAGGCAGCCUUCAAUAAAUUCGGAUGGCCCGAGUUCAGAAACAAACAGCACUGUCAGUUUAGCUAAACUCGUUAGCAAGUCUUGGGACACUCAGUGGGCUUUUCUUCCUUCCUUUUUGGAGAAUAGGGAGAAAGAACAAAUCCUGGAAUUCUAACAAAGUGAUAGUGCUUCUGCAGCGCGUCCAGAACCAACACAGUAUUCCUGACUUUAAUACACCCGUAAAAUCCGAGUGCUUUCAGAAGUUCUUCAAAAGCCAGGCUGUACUGGCAGAAGCUUUGGACUCGCUCCCACAAGUAAUUCCUGGCAUGCAAGUAACUACUUGUCAGCCCAAUGAAACUAUUCACGAAUACAGAAACUCGCAGCAUUGAGCCCCUACCAUGACUUUUGGGGAGUCACAAGCUGGGGCUAGUUUGGCCUUUAACAUAACGAUGUGUAUGCCCACACCGAAUACCGUGAUGCAGCAGUAACAGAUCUUACCAAAAGCCUGGAGUGGUUGUUGAAAGCAAUCAAGCUAAAAUUAUAAGGGGUUCCACAGAGGCAAUUUGCUAAAAUUCAAAGCUUCAUGGUACUGUGACACUGAGUGUCUGAAUUAUUUCUGCGCUGUACCUUAGGGGCAGAUAAAGAAUCACAGGCUGGUUUGGGUUGGAAAGGACCUUAACAUCAUCCAGUUCCAACUCCCUGCCACGCGCAGGGAUGCCUCACACUAGAGCAGGUUGCUCCAAGCCCCUGUGUCCAACCUGGCCUUGAACACUGCCAGGGAUGGGGCAGCCACAGCUUCUCUGGGCACCCUGUGCCAGCGCCUCAGCACCCUCACAGGGAAGAGCUUCUGCCUUAGAUCUAACCUGAACUUCCCCUGUUCCAGUUUGAACCCACCACCCCUUGUCCUGUCGCUCCAGUCCCUGAUGAAGAUAUAAUCGAAGAAGUGAUUCUAAACCAGCAUGUUUCUGGAUGAGACAAGUACUAAGCAUAAAGUAUUCCACCCAGUGAUGUUUGGUACAUCUCCGACAC